This 822-nucleotide ribosomal RNA is filed under the name uncultured bacterium. Its description in RNAcentral is "bacterial SSU rRNA". It matches the Rfam family "Bacterial small subunit ribosomal RNA", at positions 38 to 858 of the family's 1533-position model. The record is from RNAcentral.
AGCGGCAGGGUUAACACAUGCAAGUCGAGGGGCAGCAUGUCCAGCAAUGGAUGAUGGCGACCGGCGGAAGGGUGCGUAACGCGUGAGCAACAUGCCCUAUACAGGGAGAUACACCAGGGAAACUUGGUCUAAUAUCCCAUAGCAUUCAUUGAAGGCAUCUUUAAUGAAUUAAAGCUUCGGUGGUAUAGGAUUGGCUCGCGUGACAUUAGCCAGAUGGUGAGGUAACGGCUCACCAUAGCAAUGAUGUCUAGGGGUUUUGAGAGGAAGGCCCCCCACACUGGGACUGAGACACGGCCCAGACUCCUACGGGAGGCAGCAGUGAGGAAUAUUGGACAAUGGAUGGAAAUCUGAUCCAGCCAUGCCGCGUGCAGGAAGACGGCCUUAUGGGUUGUAAACUGCUUUUAUACGGGAGCAAUAAGGGUUACGAGUAAUCCGAUGAGAGUACUGUAUGAAUAAGGAUCGGCUAACUCCGUGCCAGCAGCCGCGGUAAUACGGAGGAUCCGAGCGUUAUCCGGAAUUAUUGGGUUUAAAGGGUGCGUAGGCGGCCAUUUAAGUCAGCGGUGAAAUUUUGCAGCUUAACUGUAACAGUGCCGUUGAUACUGUUUGGCUAGGAUUUGGUUGUAGUGUGCGGAAUGUGUGGUGUAGCGGUGAAAUGCUUAGAUAUCACACAGAACACCGAUUGCGAAGGCAGCACACUAAGUCAUUAUUGACGCUGAGGCACGAAAGUGUGGGGAUCAAACAGGAUUAGAUACCCUGGUAGUCCACACUGUAAACGAUGAUAACUCGCUGUCGGCGAUACACAGUCGGUGGCCAAGCGAAAGC